RNAcentral lists this ribosomal RNA (118 nucleotides) under Cordylochernes scorpioides. Lineage: Eukaryota; Metazoa; Arthropoda; Arachnida; Pseudoscorpiones; Chernetidae. The record is from RNAcentral.
ACGGCCAUACCACGUUGAUGAAAACACCGGUUCUCGUCCGAUCACCGAAGUUAAGCAACGUCGGGCUCGGUCAGUACUUGGGAGGGUGACCACCUGGGAACACCGGGUGCUGUAGGCU